CCAAUUUGUGUUGAGAGUAAAACACUUGUCAAAAUAGUUGCCUUUAUUACAUGCAUGACACCACAAUGCUUGUGUUGGACACAUCUGAAUUGUAUUGCAAUUACCUCCAUAUUUAUUGCAAAAAAAUCUAGUCUCUCUCAUUUCACCCAUUGUAUUCUGACUUUUAUGUCUUGAUAUCUACCUAACUGGAUGCAUUUAAGUUUUUUUCACAGCUUACUAAGCACUCAGGGCCGGCUCUAAGCACCAGCAAAACAAGCAGGUGCUCCGGGAGGCACAUUUCUAGGGUCGGCAUUCCGGUGUCGGCCAUGCAGCCCCUAGAAAUGUACCCCCGCCGCCCCAGCUAGCCUCCGGUCAGCCACCGCCUGCUCCCCUAAGCAUACCGCCACCGCCACUCCGCUUCUCCCCCCUCCCUCCCAGGCUUACCGCUUGUGAAACAACUGUUUCGCGUGGCAAGCCUGGGAGGGAGGGAGAAGCCUAGCAGCGGCGUGUUCAGGGGAGCAGGCGGAGCGGAGGAAAAGAAGACAGCAACACCACAUAUUCUCCAUCUGAUAGUCACGGAGGCUAUGACUGAUUCUGACAGCAGGGUGGAGCCAGAUGUUUUUUCAGGAUUGCCACUGCUGAAGGCAAGGGGAAAUUCCCUACAGACCCAACCAAUGCAAAAAACAACAGAACAAAACCCACAAGACAACCCCCCACCCCCACCCCCCAAAAAAAAACAAACAAAAACCAAAAUCCCACAACUGUUUCUCUUCAUCCUGGAGGCUGAGCAUGUUGCCUCCCCUGCACUGUAAUACUAGUACAUAUUGCCUGAAUGGAUGAAAGUGCUCAGAGUUUAAAGGAUGGAAGCCUACUACUUGAAAACUGACAGUCAGGGUGAAAUAAAAUGCACUGUUUAGACUUCUUUAAAGAAACGACUUGACAAAGUAAAACUGAAAAUGUGUGUGCGCGCGGAGGAGGGGGUGCGAGGGAAGAUGAACAACGGGCAGUAAAAUACUAGAUCCUUGAGAUUUUGUCAGCCAGAGACCUUCGCUAAUUUCUGUUGAUAGAGUCAGCCCUU
Molecule: long non-coding RNA, 1057 nt
Organism: Caretta caretta (loggerhead turtle)
Lineage: Eukaryota; Metazoa; Chordata; Testudines; Cheloniidae
Source: RefSeq, a predicted model, not a curated record